RNAcentral lists this ribosomal RNA (333 nucleotides) under uncultured bacterium. RNAcentral's name for it is "bacterial SSU rRNA". It matches the Rfam family "Bacterial small subunit ribosomal RNA", at positions 568 to 898 of the family's 1533-position model. The record is from RNAcentral.
UGUGUAGGCGGUUGCGUAAGUCUGGUGUGAAAUCUUCACCGCUUAACGGGAAGAGGUCACUGGAAACUGCGUAACUCGAGUAUGGUAGAGGCAAGCGGAAUUCCUGGUGUAGCGGUGGAAUGUGUAGAUAUCAGGAAGAACAUCUGUGGCGAAGGCGGCUUGCUGGGCCAUCACUGACGCUGAGACACGAAAGCGUGGGGAGCGAACGGGAUUAGAUACCCCGGUAGUCCACGCUGUAAACGGUGCGCACUAGGUGUGAGGGGUAUCGACCCCCCUUGUGCCGAAGUUAACACAUUAAGUGCGCCGCCUGGGGAGUACGGCCGCAAGGUUGAA